AGUGAACGCUGGCGGUAGGCCUAACACAUGCAAGUCGAACGGCAGCACAGUAAGCGCUUUCUCUUACGGGUGGCGAGUGGCGGACGGUUGAGGAAUACAUCGGAAUCUACUUUUUCGUGGGGGAUAACGUAGGGAAACUUACGCUAAUACCGCAUACGACCUACGGGUGAGAGCAGGGGAUCUUCGGACCUUGCGCGAUUGAAUGAGCCGAUGUCGGAUUAGCUAGUUGGCGGGGUAAAGGCCCACCAAGGCGACGAUCCGUAGCUGGUCUGAGAGGAUGAUCAGCCACACUGGAACUGAGACACGGUCCAGACUCCUACGGGAGGCAGCAGUGGGGAAUAUUGGACAAUGGGCGCAAGCCUGAUCCAGCCAUACCGCGUGGGUGAAGAAGGCCUUCGGGUUGUAAAGCGCUUUUGUUGGGAAAGAAAAGCAGCAGGUUAAUACCCCGCUGUGAUGACGGUACCGAAAGAAUAAGCACCGGCUAACUUCGUG
RNAcentral lists this ribosomal RNA (492 nucleotides) under uncultured bacterium. RNAcentral's name for it is "partial 16S ribosomal RNA". It matches the Rfam family "Bacterial small subunit ribosomal RNA", at positions 29 to 507 of the family's 1533-position model. The record is from RNAcentral.